RNAcentral lists this ribosomal RNA (497 nucleotides) under uncultured bacterium. RNAcentral describes it as "partial 16S ribosomal RNA". It matches the Rfam family "Bacterial small subunit ribosomal RNA", at positions 28 to 507 of the family's 1533-position model. The record is from RNAcentral.
GAUGAACGCUGGCGGCGUGCCUAAUACAUGCAAGUCGAGCGAACGGACGAGACGCUUGCUUCUCUGAUGUUAGCGGCGGACGGGUGAGUAACACGUGGAUAACCUACCUAUAAGACUGGGAUAACUUCGGGAAACCGGAGCUAAUACCGGAUAAUAUUUUGAACCUCAUGGUUCAAAAGUGAAAGACGGUCUUGCUGUCACUUAUAGAUGGAUCCGCGCUGCAUUAGCUAGUUGGUAAGGUAACGGCUUACCAAGGCAACGAUGCAUAGCCGACCUGAGAGGGUGAUCGGCCACACUGGAACUGAGACACGGUCCAGACUCCUACGGGAGGCAGCAGUAGGGAAUAUUCCGCAAUGGGCGAAAGCCUGACGGAGCAACGCCGCGUGAGUGAUGAAGGUCUUCGGAUCGUAAAACUCUGUUAUUAGGGAAGAACAGAUGUGUAAGUAACUGUGCACAUCUUGACGGUACCUAAUCAGAAAGCCACGGCUAACUACGUG